This 372-nucleotide ribosomal RNA is filed under the name Lactiplantibacillus plantarum. RNAcentral's name for it is "bacterial SSU rRNA". It matches the Rfam family "Bacterial small subunit ribosomal RNA", at positions 1 to 343 of the family's 1533-position model. The record is from RNAcentral. Lineage: Bacteria; Bacillati; Bacillota; Bacilli; Lactobacillales; Lactobacillaceae.
AUUAAUUUGAGAGUUUGAUCCUGGCUCAGGACGAACGCUGGCGGCGUGCCUAAUACAUGCAAGUCGAACGAACUCUGGUAUUGAUUGGUGCUUGCAUCAUGAUUUACAUUUGAGUGAGUGGCGAACUGGUGAGUAACACGUGGGAAACCUGCCCAGAAGCGGGGGAUAACACCUGGAAACAGAUGCUAAUACCGCAUAACAACUUGGACCGCAUGGUCCGAGCUUGAAAGAUGGCUUCGGCUAUCACUUUUGGAUGGUCCCGCGGCGUAUUAGCUAGAUGGUGGGGUAACGGCUCACCAUGGCAAUGAUACGUAGCCGACCUGAGAGGGUAAUCGGCCACAUUGGGACUGAGACACGGCCCAAACUCCUACG